RNAcentral lists this ribosomal RNA (1029 nucleotides) under Triticum aestivum (bread wheat). RNAcentral describes it as "partial small subunit ribosomal RNA". The record is from RNAcentral. Lineage: Eukaryota; Viridiplantae; Streptophyta; Magnoliopsida; Poales; Poaceae.
CCCCCCACCCCGCCGUGUUUCCGAUUCGAGAUCUUCUGGCUUAAUCAGGCCGGCUUCCGGGAGGCUGUCGUCGCUCGCUGGAUCUCCGCUCGCUCUUCCCCUCAUCGCGCCAUGUCCGUAGUCGACUCAUGGCACUUCUUCUGUGCCAAGCUCGCCCGCCAAUUCAUGAAGGGUUGGGGUGCUAACCUUGGCCGGGACCUUAGAGAGCGCAAAAAGGCCCUCUUGCUGGCUAUGCAAGCCCUGGAUUCCCGUGCCGACACGUCCGAGAUCUCCCCGGAUGAGUGGAUGCUGCGAUAUGACCUUGAAGACCAGCUCUCAACCAUUUACAUGGAUGAAGAGGCCUACUAGCGACUGCGUGGUACCCAAUGGUGGGUGCUUCAGAGUGAUGCCAACACCGCCUAUUUCCAAGCGGUGGCGAACGGCCGGCGGCGUUGAAACUCCAUCCACUGCUUGUGGGAUGGAGACACGCCUCUCGUUCGCCCCUCGGCCAUCCGUUGCCAUGUAGACAGCUUCUAUAAAGCCCUAUUUACCCCCACCCCUCGGGGUGGGGCUAGUCUCGCCCCCGACAUUUUUUCGGGUGAUCAAUUGGUGUUUGUUGAGGCCAAUGAGGCGUUAGUGGCCCCCUUCGCCGAGGACGAGGUCCUCGCGGCUAUUAAAGGGAUGAACCCCUCCUCGGCCCCGGGCCCGGAUGGCCUGCCCGUAACGUUCUUCAAAACGUUCUGGACGACCAUCAAGCCGGAGGUCAUGGCCCUGUUUGAGGAAUUCUACACGGGCGCCAUUGAUCUUGGGCGUCUCAACUAUGGUAUCGUGACCCUCAUCCCCAAAGUCCCGGGCGCCUCCGACAUCCGCCAGUUUCGUCCAAUCACAGUGAUUAAUGUGAUAUUCCGGAUUCUGGCCAAAAGGUACGCCAAUAGGGUGACCAUGCUCGUUGAAAUGAUUACCCAUCCGAACCAAUCCACCUUCACACAAGGCCGAUUUAUUCUGGAUGGGGUGUGCUACCUCUUGAGCACUGCGUUGGUUUUCCCUUGA